Ruditapes philippinarum (Manila clam) is the source of this 1800-nucleotide long non-coding RNA. RefSeq lists it as uncharacterized. Lineage: Eukaryota; Metazoa; Mollusca; Bivalvia; Venerida; Veneridae. The transcript has 4 exons. The record is from RefSeq and is a predicted model, not a curated record.
AAUUUUUUUUUCCAGCAGCAGAUUAAAUCCGGAUUAUCAACUGAUACCUACUUUCAUUAAAAUUGUGAUAGAGAAAAGCGUUUGCCCUGAUGGAUUUUACCAGCCAGUGAGUGAUGACUGCUACAAAGCAUGCACUGACUUUAAACACGAAGAUGCAGAUUUAGUUGCACAUUGGGGAAUAAGAGUGUUGUAUCCAGGAAAGAAUACCGAUCCGGGGCGUGGAUACUGUGAUGUGGAUAAUGAAUUUGUAAGCUCGAAAACCUAAAAAAUGUACACAAGUUUAGGCCAUAAUGAGGUCUCUGUCUGUGAAAAAUUGGUUGAAUUUGAGACUUACUGCCCUGCCGAUAAACGCCUUUUACUAGUUGCAACAGAAAAGUCAGGAGUUGGUAACCCUUCUCAACAUGGUGAGAAAGCUUUGACUAGCAAGGCAGUUGCAGAGAGUGUUGCAGAAGAAUAGCAACGCACUUCUGAAUGGGAAAAAGCACAGAAUCAAAGUGAGUUCAUCAGUGUGUAGAUGAACAUCCUCACCCAGGUCCUGCUUCAGAUAAACGUACUACUUCACCGAAAGAGAGACAACCUCAAUAUCCAUGCACAAAAUGUGAAAGAGGAGUUACCUCUCGCAGUAAAGCAGUAAACUGUGAUCUUUGUCAACAGUGGACUCAUAUAAAAUGUACCACCGGUAUAACAGAAAAAGAUUAUGAAUCACUAUGUAGUGGUGAGACUUUACUUGCAAUAAAUGCUCAUUUACUGAACUUCCAUUUUCACAAGAUGCUCCGAAUUUUAAUGGCUCGGAAAUGUUGUUUACAACAAAUUUAAAUGGAACUCAAAUUCCUUCUGAAAUAAGUCAAGAUCAUUUCCAGUGUUUCUUUCAAAAAGGACUGCAUUUUAUUCAUGUUAUUGCAAGAGCCUUGCUUCCUAAAAUAUAUCAGAACUCCGGCUAAUCACAAUAAAAUCCAAAGCAGCUGUUAUCUUAGUGUCAGAAAACUGGCUCGAAUCUUCAGUACCUGACAGCGAAGAAUGGAGGUGGAGUUUGUAUGUUUGUACAUGAUGACCUGGCUUUCAAUAUAAGAACAGACUUAUCAUGGGAUGGCGAAGAAAUCUUAUUCCUGGAACUAAUCUUGCCAAGAAACAAGCCUAUCAUUGUUGGGAUUGUCUACAGACCUCAAAAACAUUCUAGUUUUUUAGAUAGUUUUGAAAACAUUUUCACUUAUUUAAAAUCAGAUUGUGAAACUAUUAUUUUAGGUGAUUUUAAUAUUUGUGUAUUACAUAAGUCUGGUUCUUUUUAUAAGUCUUAUUACAGUAUUUUACGGCUUUUUUAUUUAGAACAGAUACUUUCAGAACCUACUAGAAUUUGUAGUUCAUCUAUUAGUUUACUUGAUCAUAUUCUAUGUAAUAACAAAGAAAAAAUAUCUCAGUCAGAAGUGUUCCUAUUGGUCUGAGUGAUCAUAUGCUUACUUUGUGCACAGGAAAAAUUGCGAAAGUUCCAGCAAAAUAGCAUAAUUAUGUGAAAAUCAGGUCUCUAAAAUAUUAUGAUAAAAAAGAUUUUAUUUCCAGAUGAGCAAAUGCUAACUGGAGUACUUAUUUUUACUCUACUAAUGUUAAUACUGCAUGGAUUCUUUUAAAAAUGUUUUGCUAGUGUUUUAGACUCUGUGACCCAAGUAAAGGAAUUAAGACUUCGUGACUAGUCAGAGCCCUGGAUUAACUCUGAAAUACUAGAUAGCACUAGAUAGUAUCAAGCAAAGAGAUUCGUAUUUAUAUAGAUAUAAAAAGUAUGGUGAAAGAGAGGAUUAUAAGGCUUAA